Molecule: ribosomal RNA, 505 nt
Filed under: uncultured bacterium
Lineage: Bacteria
Description: partial 16S ribosomal RNA
Rfam family: Bacterial small subunit ribosomal RNA
Source: RNAcentral
GACGAACGCUGGCGGCGUGCCUAAUACAUGCAAGUAGAACGCACAGUUUAUACCGUAGCUUGCUACACCAUAGACUGUGAGUUGCGAACGGGUGAGUAACGCGUAGGUAACCUGCCUGGUAGCGGGGGAUAACUAUUGGAAACGAUAGCUAAUACCGCAUAAUAUUAAUUAUUGCAUGAUAAUUAAUUGAAAGGUGCAAUUGCACCACUACCAGAUGGACCUGCGUUGUAUUAGCUAGUAGGGGAGGUAACGGCUCACCUAGGCGACGAUACAUAGCCGACCUGAGAGGGUGAUCGGCCACACUGGGACUGAGACACGGCCCAGACUCCUACGGGAGGCAGCAGUAGGGGAUCUUCGGCAAUGGACGAAAGGCUGACCGAGCAACGCCGCGUGAGUGAAGAAGGGUUUCGGAUCGUAAAGCUCUGUUGUAAGAGAAGAACGGGGGUGAGAGUGGAAAGUUCACACUGUGACGGUAUCUUACCAGAAAGGGACGGCUAACUACGUG